Cydia amplana is the source of this 266-nucleotide long non-coding RNA. RefSeq lists it as uncharacterized. The transcript is spliced from 2 exons. Lineage: Eukaryota; Metazoa; Arthropoda; Insecta; Lepidoptera; Tortricidae. The record is from RefSeq and is a predicted model, not a curated record.
CAGUUUUGGUACUAUAAAUACUAUUAUUUUCGUAGUCGACAUCUAGAUUCUGUAUCUUUAGGUAAUUAAAUAAAAGUAAAUAAAAUCUACCCUCAUAUGGCUCCGUAAGCCAGUUGAGGGUAGAUGAAAACAUUAUACACGAUCAAAUAAUGUAGGUUAAAGUCAGGUCGUUCAGUGACAGAUCCAGUCGGGUUUGUAUUUGGUCGGUUAACCAAUAAAUGUUAUAACUACCCGUAAAUGUACAAAUUAUUUGUUUACUUUUAUUU